GAGUGAAUGAUGAGCAAAUUUAUCGCGGCAUUGUGUCAAACUGUUUUUGGUUUUCGGCUCUCGGUUGGCCAUGUGUGUGGGCCCGACACCAUCAGGCGAUCAGACGAUCUGACGAU
Drosophila melanogaster (fruit fly) is the source of this 116-nucleotide small nucleolar RNA. The record is from Ensembl. Lineage: Eukaryota; Metazoa; Arthropoda; Insecta; Diptera; Drosophilidae.